Molecule: long non-coding RNA, 736 nt
Organism: Pogoniulus pusillus (Red-fronted tinkerbird)
Lineage: Eukaryota; Metazoa; Chordata; Aves; Piciformes; Lybiidae
Exons: 2
Source: RefSeq, a predicted model, not a curated record
CCCAACUGGGCAGAGGGAUCCUCCUCAUCUCAUCACUGGGUGAUUAAUGUUGGACCACACUGACAAAAGGAGAUGCGCAAGUGAACAACGUGCCAUUCUGCUGCUGCCUGCUGCAAUUGCCUACUGCCUUGUGUUUGCUGGUAAAUCCCACUGUUGCAAGUUACCAGAAGCAGACCCUGGAUGCCUUCAUCUGAUCGUCCUGUGUGGUCAGCCUGACAUCGUGCUGAGACUGCACAUCGCAUGGCAUCUUGUCUCUACUCCUGAAAAUCCUCUUUAGAAGUCCUGGCCAUACACAGGUCAUUCAGAGGAGCCAGGAGACAAGAACAUUGUCUGCCUCCUUUCUCCAGAUCCCUGGGAAGAAUUAAGUCUCAACAUCUGAUGGGACAGAGUCCCCUGAAAGCAUUUGGGCUCUGUCUGGACUGUGGCUAACCCUCACGAGUGGAGUACUAGUAAUAAUAAUUUGUGAGUCAAUGCUUCAAUGUCUUUCUGUCAUUCUCCAUUGCUUUCUGCCAUAAGCAGACAGAGCUCCUUGAGUCCAUCUAGUGGACAAGUGGCAUUUGACUGCAGGAAUCUUCCAGUUCAAUUAAUGUUUAUUUUUUUGCUGGUUAUUUCUAGAUAUUAUCCAUAGAAUGUUUCCAUGACUCUGUAAGAACUGAAAUAUCAUUAAAAUUAGUGGUUGGGGGUGGUGAGAGUUCUGAAUAUCAAAAUUAAUAAACAUUAUUCAUUUUGGAAAAAA